GACGAACGCUGGCGGCGUGCCUAAUACAUGCAAGUAGAACGCUGAAGAGAGGAGCUUGCUCUUCUUGGAUGAGUUGCGAACGGGUGAGUAACGCGUAGGUAACCUGCCUUGUAGCGGGGGAUAACUAUUGGAAACGAUAGCUAAUACCGCAUAACAAUGGAUGACCCAUGUCAUUUAUUUGAAAGGGGCAAAUGCUCCACUACAAGAUGGACCUGCGUUGUAUUAGCUAGUAGGUGAGGUAACGGCUCACCUAGGCGACGAUACAUAGCCGACCUGAGAGUGUGAUCGGCCACACUGGGACUGAGACACGGCCCAGACUCCUACGGGAGGCAGCAGUAGGGAAUCUUCGGCAAUGGGGGCAACCCUGACCGAGCAACGCCGCGGGAGUGAAGAAGGUUUUCGGAUCGUAAAGCUCUGUUGUAAGUCAAGAACGAGUGUGAGAGUGGAAAGUUCACACUGUGACGGUAGCUUACCAGAAAGGGACGGCUAACUACGUG
Molecule: ribosomal RNA, 497 nt
Filed under: uncultured bacterium
Lineage: Bacteria
Description: partial 16S ribosomal RNA
Rfam family: Bacterial small subunit ribosomal RNA
Source: RNAcentral